CUGUGUGCUCCACAUGCUAAUUAUCUCUCCAUGAUUGUCCAAAUAAGCUUUGCUCCAUUCCGUCGUGCACGUCACCUGAAGAAACGAGCCCGCUAGCCAGAAGCGUCUGCUAUUGCCAAGCUCUAUCUUGACAAGAGGAGGAGGCAAUCUAAUCAUCCUUCAAUACUCAAUUCUGCCCUGCCUGCUGUUCCAAUUCCUUUUCCUUCAUUCGCGUGUACUCAUUGUUUCUUGCUUUUGCAGCUUGCCUUCAAGUCAAUGCAGCAGCCAAAACACGGUGUUGUCAUUUAAUGAAUCUGACGCUAAGGUGUUUGGCUGGGUGGCGGAUCUUCUUGAGGAAUGUUUUGAAGCCAGUAAAUUCCCGGAGCUCUGUCAUGGGUGUCCGCUUCAGUAUACUGCCAAGGAAGUCUCGCAGACUAUGUGUGGCAAGGUGACAGAUCCUCCGAGAAAUUCUCAGACCACAUCAGUGAUCGAUCCAGGUCCUGCUGCUGCUGGCAAUGUGAUUGAUCCUAAAGACUCUCAGUUGCCAUCAUUUACCGUGACUGGUCAAUUAGUUGAAAACCUCCAAACCUAAUCUAAGCCACUUGCCAUCGUUUCUGCUUCAAUCUGGGCUUUGUACUGCACGUGCGAUAUGUCAGAAUCCUUUGUUUGUCAUCUUCGCCAGUGUUCAAGUUCUUGUAUGAUACCCUGAAACAAAUAUGAUCCGUCUACUAGUUUCAGUUUUAUAAUUAAUCUAAUGGACGAUCUUCGCUGA
Long non-coding RNA from Brachypodium distachyon (stiff brome), 751 nucleotides. RefSeq lists it as uncharacterized. NCBI's taxonomy places the organism in Eukaryota, Viridiplantae, Streptophyta, Magnoliopsida, Poales, Poaceae. The transcript has 5 exons. The record is from RefSeq and is a predicted model, not a curated record.